UACGUAGGUGGCAAGCGUUAUCCGGAUUUAUUGGGUUUAAAGGGUGCGUAGGCGGCCUUUUAAGUCAGCGGUGAAAGUCUGUGGCUCAACCAUAGAAUUGCCGUUGAAACUGGGGGGCUUGAGUAUGUUUGAGGCAGGCGGAAUGCGUGGUGUAGCGGUGAAAUGCAUAGAUAUCACGCAGAACUCCGAUUGCGAAGGCAGCAUACCGGCGCUCAACUGACGCUGAGGCACGAAAGCGUGGGGAUCGAACAGG
RNAcentral lists this ribosomal RNA (253 nucleotides) under uncultured Parabacteroides sp. RNAcentral describes it as "partial 16S ribosomal RNA". It matches the Rfam family "Bacterial small subunit ribosomal RNA", at positions 524 to 776 of the family's 1533-position model. Lineage: Bacteria; Pseudomonadati; Bacteroidota; Bacteroidia; Bacteroidales; Tannerellaceae. The record is from RNAcentral.